GUCGUCAGCUCGUGUCGUGAGAUGUUGGGUUAAGUCCCGCAACGAGCGCAACCCUCGUCCUAUGUUGCCAGCGGGUCAUGCCGGGGACUCAUGGGAGACUGCCGGGGUCAACUCGGAGGAAGGUGGGAUGACGUCAAAUCAUCAUGCCCCUUAUGUCUUGGGCUUCACGCAUGCUACAAUGGCCGGUACAAAGGGCUGCGAUACCGCGAGGUGGAGCGAAUCCCAGAAAGCCGGUCUCAGUUCGGAUUGGGGUCUGCAACUCGACCCCAUGAAGUCGGAGUCGCUAGUAAUCGCAGAUCAGCAACGCUGCGGUGAAUACGUUCCCGGGCCUU
This 332-nucleotide ribosomal RNA is filed under the name uncultured Cellulomonas sp. Its description in RNAcentral is "bacterial SSU rRNA". It matches the Rfam family "Bacterial small subunit ribosomal RNA", at positions 1051 to 1382 of the family's 1533-position model. The record is from RNAcentral. Lineage: Bacteria; Bacillati; Actinomycetota; Actinomycetes; Micrococcales; Cellulomonadaceae.